Molecule: long non-coding RNA, 779 nt
Filed under: Homo sapiens (human)
Lineage: Eukaryota; Metazoa; Chordata; Mammalia; Primates; Hominidae
Description: novel transcript
Source: RNAcentral
UAUAGGGUAAACAUCCAAUUAAAAGGCAGAUAUUGGCUAUCCUUGGGGAGGCCAGCAAAUUUCCGGAUAAGGGAAGCUGGUGGGCAGGAAAAAGGCAUGCAAUGGCCCUCAUGAGCCAGAAGAAUAGCUGCUGACUGAUGCCUGGGGGACCAAGCCCAUAAUUGUGGAGCUGGAGCCGCACUGUGUCCCUUGCUUCAGUCUGAUCUUUGGGGAGCCUGCACAGUUCUGACCUCAGUUAAGAGCUAAGGGAAGAGAUUUGGGAAUGUUUGGCCCUGUGUAACAGCAAAAGGAUUCAUUGGUGAGGGUGUCUGGCAGGUAUCCGUAAAGAUAAUAAGAUGAAGGGAACAUCGCCGUUUGGAAAGUGUCGUGAUAUGAUACACAAGUUGUGCUGCCUCUGUGGCUCUAAGGCAUACCACCUUCAGAAGUCAACCUGUGGCAAAUGUGGCUCCCCUGCCAAGCGCAAGAGAAAGUGUAACUGGACUGCCACGGCUAAAAGAAAAUACCACGGCGACUGGUUGAAUGAAGCACCUAAACAUUGUAUACUGCAGAUUUAGGCAUGGAUUCUUUGCAGGAACAACACCUACACCCAAGAGGGCAGCAGUUGUGUCAUCCAGUUCAUCUUAAGAAUUUCAAUGAUUAGUCACACAAUAAAUAUUCCGGUUUUUAAAAAUGUAUAUAUUUUAAACAUAUAUAUGUUUAUAUGUAUAUGUUAUAUCUGUAUUACAUAUAUGUGAAAAGAGGCAGAGAUUGUCAGAUUGGAUUAAAAAGCUGUCUGUAAG